This is a long non-coding RNA of Magnolia sinica, 869 nucleotides long. RefSeq lists it as uncharacterized. Lineage: Eukaryota; Viridiplantae; Streptophyta; Magnoliopsida; Magnoliales; Magnoliaceae. The transcript has 5 exons. The record is from RefSeq and is a predicted model, not a curated record.
CCACCUCCUUAAUAGAGAGGCUAUUCAAUCUCAAAGGAAUUGCUGUGAGUAGGUGUUGCACAUGCACUGUUUCUCUUUCCUCAUGCAAACUGUUUAUGUUGCCCUGCAGGGUGGUGAUGUCAAAAUGGCAGAUGCCACAACGGCAAAGACUGAAAAGAAGGUGAGAGGAAUUCUUUAAAGGUGCUGGUGAAGUUGUUGAUGUCCGAUUUGCUUCAAAUGAAGAGGGUGACUUCAAGGGAUUCGACAUGUUGAGGUUUGCCACUGAGGCAACAACUCACAAGUGUUACCAUGACACUUCCAAUGCAACAAAUGAGCUUGUUCAGAAGAUACUACUGACAAGACUGGAGCCUGGAGUUGUUGAUGUGUUUCUUGAUUUCAUUUGCUACUCACGUGGUCCUCUACCUGACGAACUGCUCACCCAAGUUAAGGGAGUUCAUGUUUCAGAGGACUUUGUUGCCAAGCAAUUGAGGUCCAUGCUUUCUGAUAUGUAGGUUGAUGUGGUUACAGUCAAACACGACAUUGAGCAUGCAACAAGAAAAUAGAUUGAAGUAGAUGGGUGUGGUGGUGAGGAACGUUUGUUUGUGACUCAAAAGACUGAAGAUGAAUGAGCAGAGGGAAAUGUUAGCAAAGAUUGCAGUGGGGAAAAUGUCUAUAGAGCAAUUAGCUAAUCUGCUCUCAAGAUCUGCAGCACAAGGUAGCUCUCAAACUUCCGUGGAAAGCAACAGGAAGCAGAACUUUGCUUAGUGUUAUUUAUGUCUAUUUUGUUAGUUUAAAUAGAUGGUUAACUAUUUGUUGGUAUUGUGCUUUUAUGCUUAGUGUUAUUUGUGUCUGUAGUAUUUUUAAAAAUUUUAAAUAGAAGGUUAACUAUU